AACAAGCCACUCGUAUGGGCAACAUCUGCGCAUGUGUGAACAGGCAGCUUUGCAUGCCCCAGUGCGUGUAAGCAUGCACACAAAUAGUGCACCACAUCCGCAAAACAUGCCAUGUGCGCAGAAGGCUAGACGCACGCCCAACACCCAUCACAAAUGCGAAGGAGCCCCACAUGGCCUAAUCACAUGACCUGCGUGACUUGUGCGAUGCCUAUACCCUUACCUAUGCGUGACGGGCAUGCUGCUUACGUGACAAACCCCUUUUGAGUUUUUUUUUUGGACUCUUUUCUUCAUUUUUCAAGUAUUACAAGGUUUCCAAAUUCAAAGGACUUCCUCAAUAAUUUUACAUGUGAGUUAAAUGUCAAAAUUGGAG
Molecule: long non-coding RNA, 370 nt
Filed under: Carica papaya (papaya)
Lineage: Eukaryota; Viridiplantae; Streptophyta; Magnoliopsida; Brassicales; Caricaceae
Description: long non-coding RNA (CPAP_LNC010124)
Source: RNAcentral